This 588-nucleotide ribosomal RNA is filed under the name uncultured bacterium. RNAcentral describes it as "bacterial SSU rRNA". It matches the Rfam family "Bacterial small subunit ribosomal RNA", at positions 294 to 882 of the family's 1533-position model. The record is from RNAcentral.
GAGAGGAAGGUCCCCCACAUUGGAACUGAGACACGGUCCAAACUCCUACGGGAGGCAGCAGUGAGGAAUAUUGGUCAAUGGGCGAGAGCCUGAACCAGCCAAGUAGCGUGAAGGAUGACUGCCCUAUGGGUUGUAAACUUCUUUUAUAAAGGAAUAAAGUCGGGUAUGGAUACCCGUUUGCAUGUACUUUAUGAAUAAGGAUCGGCUAACUCCGUGCCAGCAGCCGCGGUAAUACGGAGGAUCCGAGCGUUAUCCGGAUUUAUUGGGUUUAAAGGGAGCGUAGAUGGAUGUUUAAGUCAGUUGUGAAAGUUUGCGGCUCAACCGUAAAACUGCAGUUGAUACUGGAUAUCUUGAGUGCAGUUGAGGCAGGCGGAAUUCGUGGUGUAGCGGUGAAAUGCUUAGAUAUCACGAAGAACUCCGAUUGCGAAGGCAGCCUGCUAAGCUGCAACUGACAUUGAGGCUCGAAAGUGUGGGUAUCAAACAGGAUUAGAUACCCUGGUAGUCCACACGGUAAACGAUGAAUACUCGCUGUUUGCGAUAUACUGCAAGCGGCCAAGCGAAAGCGUUAAGUAUUCCACCUGGGGAGUA